GAAGUGCGAUAAGCAAUGCGAAUUGCAGAAUUCCGCGAAUCAUCAGAUCUUUGAACGCAAAUGGCGCCAGAGGGAUAUCCUUCUGGCAUGUCUGUUUCAGUGUCUGAGAGGUUUCACCACUAUCUUAAUGUGAUUGAUGAACAAGUUGCUACUCUCGUAGUGGCUUGACCUCAUCUCUCAUGAAAGAUGUUCGAGUGGAUCUUUUGGUCCAAUGAAGUGGUCACAUCACUCGCAUGUGAUUUCAUUGGGAUCACCAAAUUAUCCGCAUGCUCGAAGUACACUCUCUCUUUUUUUUGGGUAACACCAAAAGAAAGACACUCCACACCCUGCAUCUGAGACAGGCAAGAUCACCCGCUGAACUUAA
This 364-nucleotide unclassified non-coding RNA is filed under the name uncultured fungus. Its description in RNAcentral is "sequence contains ITS1". The stretch from base 1 to 105 matches the Rfam family "5.8S ribosomal RNA", at positions 50 to 154 of the family's 154-position model. The record is from RNAcentral. Lineage: Eukaryota; Fungi.